Molecule: ribosomal RNA, 588 nt
Filed under: Mycolicibacterium mucogenicum
Lineage: Bacteria; Bacillati; Actinomycetota; Actinomycetes; Mycobacteriales; Mycobacteriaceae
Description: bacterial SSU rRNA
Rfam family: Bacterial small subunit ribosomal RNA
Source: RNAcentral
GGCGGCGUGCUUAACACAUGCAAGUCGAACGGAAAGGCCCUUCGGGGUACUCGAGUGGCGAACGGGUGAGUAACACGUGGGUGAUCUGCCCUGCACUUUGGGAUAAGCCUGGGAAACUGGGUCUAAUACCGAAUAGGACCACGCGCUUCAUGGUGUGUGGUGGAAAGCUUUUGCGGUGUGGGAUGGGCCCGCGGCCUAUCAGCUUGUUGGUGGGGUAAUGGCCUACCAAGGCGACGACGGGUAGCCGGCCUGAGAGGGUGACCGGCCACACUGGGACUGAGAUACGGCCCAGACUCCUACGGGAGGCAGCAGUGGGGAAUAUUGCACAAUGGGCGCAAGCCUGAUGCAGCGACGCCGCGUGAGGGAUGACGGCCUUCGGGUUGUAAACCUCUUUCAAUAGGGACGAAGCGCAAGUGACGGUACCUAUAGAAGAAGCACCGGCCAACUACGUGCCAGCAGCCGCGGUAAUACGUAGGGUGCGAGCGUUGUCCGGAAUUACUGGGCGUAAAGAGCUCGUAGGUGGUUUGUCGCGUUGUUCGUGAAAACUCACAGCUUAACUGUGGGCGUGCGGGCGAUACGGGCAGACUA